Molecule: long non-coding RNA, 573 nt
Organism: Cyprinus carpio carpio
Lineage: Eukaryota; Metazoa; Chordata; Actinopteri; Cypriniformes; Cyprinidae
Source: Ensembl
GGUGGAGUUUAGUUCAGCGGUGUUUGUGUGUGUAGUUAGGCGAUGGGUGGAGUUUAGUUCAGCGGUGUUUGUGUGCGUAGUUAGGCGAUGGGUGGAGUUUAGUUCAGCGGUGUUUGUGUGCGUAGUUAGGCGAUCAGUGGAGUUUAGUUUAGCAGUGUUUGUGUUUGUAGUUAGGGGAUGGGUGGAGUUUAGUUCAGUGGUGGAGUUUAGUUCAGCAGUGUUUGUGUGUGUAGUUAGGCUAUGCGUGGAGUUUAGUUCAGCAGUGUUUGUGUGUGUAGUUAGGGGAUGGGUGGAGUUUAGUUCAGUGGUGUUUGUGUGUGUAGUUAGGCGAUGGGUGGAGUUUAGUUCCGUGUGUAAGGCUGAGGCAGCAGCAGUGCAGAGCAGAGCUCUAGCGGAGCUUCAGUCGGAUUCACAGCUCGAACUCGCUCUGACCGUCGCGCACUUUCUCAGAUGUGUUUCUGUGUUUCCAGCGCGCUGAGUUGGGCAGCUGGAGGACUAGUUUGCUGAGUUAGGCAGCUGGAGGACUAGUUUAGUUUAGCGAUGUCCUGCUCGCGCGCUUAGUGGUUAGUUUGU